This 460-nucleotide ribosomal RNA is filed under the name uncultured bacterium. Its description in RNAcentral is "partial 16S ribosomal RNA". It matches the Rfam family "Bacterial small subunit ribosomal RNA", at positions 338 to 795 of the family's 1533-position model. The record is from RNAcentral.
CCUACGGGAGGCAGCAGUGAGGAAUAUUGGUCAAUGGACGAGAGUCUGAACCAGCCAAGUAGCGUGAAGGAUGACUGCCCUAUGGGUUGUAAACUUCUUUUAUAUGGGAAUAAAACGUUCCACGUGUGGGAUUUUGUAUGUACCAUAUGAAUAAGGAUCGGCUAACUCCGUGCCAGCAGCCGCGGUAAUACGGAGGAUCCGAGCGUUAUCCGGAUUUAUUGGGUUUAAAGGGAGCGUAGGUGGAUUGUUAAGUCAGUUGUGAAAGUUUGCGGCUCAACCGUAAAAUUGCGGUUGAAACUGGCAGUCUUGAGUACAGUAGAGGUGGGCGGAAUUCGUGGUGUAGCGGUGAAAUGCUUAGAUAUCACGAAGAACUCCGAUUGCGAAGGCAGUUCACUGGACUGCAACUGACACUGAGGCUCGAAAGUGUGGGUAUCAAACAGGAUUAGAUACCCGAGUAGUC